Molecule: long non-coding RNA, 356 nt
Organism: Ailuropoda melanoleuca (giant panda)
Lineage: Eukaryota; Metazoa; Chordata; Mammalia; Carnivora; Ursidae
Exons: 3
Source: RefSeq, a predicted model, not a curated record
ACCCUGAAGCCACAGCCUGCAUGGACAGCGUUGCGUGCCCAGAGAAAUCUGUGCCUUGUUCCACUGGAUCCUGCCAUCACAAUCCUCCCAGGUCACGUGACAUUUUCACUGCAGGGGCCCACGCAAGUGAGAAGCCCAAAGUUCACACUUAGCGUCACAUCGAAUCUACCCAUGAGGCCCCCUCCAGAAAAUUGAGAAGCCAAACCACCUUCAACCCCACUUCCUCAGAGGGGGAAAUGACUCACAGCAAAGAAACCUGAGCCUGUCACAGAUGUAAGACAGUCCGGAUUGACCAGGCUAUGUAAACCAGACCAGUACAGUGCUGGCAGGCACAUAAUGACCCAGGUGGGUACCCU